UGGGGAAUAUUGGACAAUGGGGGCAACCCUGAUCCAGCAAUGCCGCGUGUGUGAAGAAGGUUUUCGGAUUGUAAAGCACUUUCGGCGGGGACGAUGAUGACGGUACCCGCAGAAGAAGCCCCGGCUAACUUCGUGCCAGCAGCCGCGGUAAUACGAAGGGGGCUAGCGUUGCUCGGAAUGACUGGGCGUAAAGGGCGUGUAGGCGGUUUGUACAGUCAGAUGUGAAAUCCCCGGGCUUAACCUGGGAGCUGCAUUUGAUACGUGUAGACUAGAGUGUGAGAGAGGGUUGUGGAAUUCCCAGUGUAGAGGUGAAAUUCGUAGAUAUUGGGAAGAACACCGGUGGCGAAGGCGGCAACCUGGCUCAUAACUGACGCUGAGGCGCGAAAAGCGUGGGGAGCAAACAGGAUUAGAUACCCUGGUAGUCCACGCUGUAAACGAUGUGUGCUAGAUGUUGGGUAACUUAGUUAUUCAGUGUCGCAGUUAACGCGUUAAGCACACCGCCUGGGGAGUACGGCCGCAAGGUUGAAAACUCU
This 533-nucleotide ribosomal RNA is filed under the name uncultured bacterium. RNAcentral's name for it is "partial 16S ribosomal RNA". It matches the Rfam family "Bacterial small subunit ribosomal RNA", at positions 355 to 903 of the family's 1533-position model. The record is from RNAcentral.